Molecule: ribosomal RNA, 415 nt
Filed under: uncultured prokaryote
Description: bacterial SSU rRNA
Rfam family: Bacterial small subunit ribosomal RNA
Source: RNAcentral
GUGUCAGCAGCCGCGGUAAUACGGAGGAUGCAAGCGUUAUCCGGAAUGAUUGGGCGUAAAGCGUCCGCAGGUGGCUGUGUAAGUCUGCUGUUAAAGCGUCUGGCUUAACCAGAUACAAGCAGUGGAAACUACACAGCUAGAGUGCGUUCGGGGCAGAGGGAAUUCCUGGUGUAGCGGUGAAAUGCGUAGAUAUCAGGAAGAACACCGGUGGCGAAAGCGCUCUGCUAGGCCGCAACUGACACUGAGGGACGAAAGCUAGGGGAGCGAAUGGGAUUAGAUACCCCAGUAGUCCUAGCCGUAAACGAUGGAUACUAGGCGUUGCUUGUAUCGACCCAAGCAGUGCCGUAGCUAACGCGUUAAGUAUCCCGCCUGGGGAGUACGCACGCAAGUGUGAAACUUAAAGGAAUUGACGGGG